UGGGGUUUUGGUCUCCUUCUCUGCUGCGUUUCUUCUGCUAAUUCUUAGGCCCAGAGGAAAGGUGGGCGCAAGUCGCUGAUUCCAUGGCGCUGGUGAUGUCUUGGUUAAUUUGUGUUGCUCCUGUUGGACCAUACUUUUUCUUGGUGCUUGAGGAUUAGGGUUCAAGGGAUGCCGACGUUGGCAUCUGCUACGUGACUCUUCUUUCGGCGUGGCUCAUGACUGGUGGAUCUGAAGUCAGAGUAAUAUGGUUUUUUUCUGAUGGUCCAUAAUUAUGUCCGAUCAUACAGUCAACAUUUGAGGAUUAAGUAAUUCAGCACUGCACUACUCUUCUGGAGAUCCCUACCUCAUACUCUUUGUUCUCUUCUUUGUUGAAAAUUUUCUGUUGCCAUCAUACUCUGUGUUACAUGUUAACAACAACAACAAGAGCGGUUUCUAGGCACUGAUUGCAGCGGAAUUUUGAAAUGGGGGUUGCAAAUAAAACUUCUUGGUUUCUUAAGAUGAAUCCCAUCGGGAAGUGACUCGCUCGAAGGCUGACAACCCUCUUUAUGGUACUUCACUCGUUGAAUACGCUCAUAUUGAGCAAUGGAUUGACUUUGCGCCUACAGAGAUUGCCCCAAGAGUUGGAUUUGGACCUUAUCUUGCUGGGUUGAGGAAGCUGCCAUAUCUUCUUUGAAGAGGGCCCUUGGUGCUCUGAACACUCAUCUUACGUCAAAUAUAUCUCGUCGGCCAUGCUGUUACUUUGGCCGAUAUUUUUAUGAUUUGUAACUUAUAUCUUGGAUUCAAUUGAAUCUUCAUUAAAAGUUUUACCUCUGAGUUUCCGAAAGA
Musa acuminata subsp. malaccensis (wild Malaysian banana) is the source of this 825-nucleotide long non-coding RNA. RefSeq lists it as uncharacterized. The record is from RefSeq and is a predicted model, not a curated record. Lineage: Eukaryota; Viridiplantae; Streptophyta; Magnoliopsida; Zingiberales; Musaceae.